GACGAACGCUGGCGGCGUGCUUAACACAUGCAAGUCGAACGAUGAAGAAGAGAAACGCGAACUUCGGUUCAAAUUUCACUUCGGAUUAGUGGCAGACGGGUGAGUAACGCGUGAGCAACCUACCUCUUACAAAGGGAUAGCCUCGGGAAACCGUGAUUAAUACCAUAUGACACAUUCAUAAGGCAUCUUAAGAAUGUUAAAGCUACGGCGGUAAGAGAUGGGCUCGCGUCCCAUUAGCUAGUUGGUGAGGUAACGGCCCACCAAGGCGACGAUGGGUAACCGGCCUGAGAGGGUGAACGGUCACAUUGGAACUGAGACACGAUCCAAACUCCUACGGGAGGCAGCAGUGGGGAAUAUUGCACAAUGGAGGGAACUCUGAUGCAGCGACGCCGCGUGAGCGAUGAAGGAAUUCGUUUCGUAAAGCUCUGUUCUAUGGGAAGAAAAGGACUGUACCAUAGGAGAAAGCCCCGGCUAAAUACGUG
This 482-nucleotide ribosomal RNA is filed under the name uncultured bacterium. RNAcentral describes it as "partial 16S ribosomal RNA". It matches the Rfam family "Bacterial small subunit ribosomal RNA", at positions 28 to 507 of the family's 1533-position model. The record is from RNAcentral.